This is a non-coding RNA of Danio rerio (zebrafish), 420 nucleotides long. The record is from the annotation of a RefSeq genome assembly. NCBI's taxonomy places the organism in Eukaryota, Metazoa, Chordata, Actinopteri, Cypriniformes, Danionidae.
AUGGCUUUCUGGAAAAGUGGCAUUCUGAUCAUAAUUAUAUACAUCAAGGGAUGUGAUUCUCAGGAUAAAGUUGAUCAGCACACAAAGACUCAAUCUGCUUUUGAAGGUGAUACUGUAACCAUUGACUGCACAUAUCAGACUUCUUAUACAACACCGACUCUAUUCUGGUACCAGCAGAAAGUCAACGGAGUCCCCAAACACAUGCUUAAUAAAAUCUCUACAUCUGGACACACUGAGGAAGAAUUUAAAGAGAGAUUUCACGCAACUCUCAGCAAAACUUCAGUUCCUCUGACAAUCAAGGAUCUACGAGUGUCAGACUCUGCUGUGUAUUACUGUGCUCUGAGGCCCACAGCUGUGAUUGUGCUGAGAGUGUUGAUCAGAAUACAAGAGUUGAAACUUCUGUUGAAGAAGGAUCUGUGA